ACCUGCGGAAGGAUCAUUGUCGAAA
This 25-nucleotide ribosomal RNA is filed under the name Sarracenia flava. RNAcentral describes it as "partial 18S ribosomal RNA". The record is from RNAcentral. Lineage: Eukaryota; Viridiplantae; Streptophyta; Magnoliopsida; Ericales; Sarraceniaceae. RNAcentral also lists the same sequence under 9 other names.